Molecule: unclassified non-coding RNA, 405 nt
Filed under: uncultured fungus
Lineage: Eukaryota; Fungi
Description: sequence contains ITS1
Rfam family: 5.8S ribosomal RNA (bases 1-105)
Source: RNAcentral
GAAGUGCGAUAAGCAAUGCGAAUUGCAGAAUUCCGCGAAUCAUCAGAUCUUUGAACGCAAAUGGCGCCGGAGGGAUAUCCUUUCGGCAUGUCUGUUUCAGUGUCUGAGAGGUUUCACCAAGAUCUUAAUGUGAUUGACGGGGUGACAGUGUGUGUGUGUGUGUGUGUGUGUGUGUGUGUGUGUGUAACUCGUUUACUACUACUACUACUACUACUACCACAGUCAAACCAUCUCUCAUGAAAGAUGGGUACGUGGAUCUUUCGGUCCAAUGAAGUGGUCACAUCACUCGCAUGUGAUUUCAUUGGAAAAUCACCGAAUUAUCCGUAUACGUGCCGUAACUUACGACAACAACCAAACCUUCCCUACCCUGCAUCUGAGAUAGGCAAGAUCACCCGCUGAACUUAA